AUGCAAGUCGAGCGGGGGUAUGGAAGGAGUAAUCUGACCAUGCUCUAGCGGCGGACGGGUGAGUAACGCGUGAGCGACCUGCCUUUCACAGGGGGAUAACGGGGGGAAACCUUCACUAAUACCGCAUGAGACCACGAAGCUGCAUGGCUUUGAGGUCAAAGGAGCAAUCCGGUGAAAGAUGGGCUCGCGUCCUAUUAGAUAGUUGGUGGGGUAAUGGCCUACCAAGUCAACGAUGGGUAGCCGACCUGAGAGGGUGAUCGGCCACAUUGGAACUGAGAGACGGUCCAAACUCCUACGGGAGGCAGCAGUGGGGAAUAUUGGGCAAUGGGGGAAACCCUGACCCAGCAACGCCGCGUGAGGGAAGAAGGUUUUCGGAUUGUAAACCUCUGUCCUUGGUGAAGAGCAGAAGACGGUAGCCAAGGAGGAAGCCCCGGCUAACUACGUGCCAGCAGCCGCGGUAAUACGUAGGGGGCAAGCGUUGUCCGGAAUGAUUGGGCGUAAAGGGCGCGUAGGCGGCUGUGCAAGUCUGGAGUGAAAGUCCUAUUUUCAAGGUAGGAAUUGCUUUGGAAACUGCAUAGCUUGAGUGCAGGAGAGGUUAUCGGAAUUCCCGGUGUAGCGGUGAAAUGCGUAGAGAUCGGGAGGAACACCAGUGGCGAAGGCGGGUAACUGGACUGCAACUGACGCUGAGGCGCGAAAGUGUGGGGAGCAAACAGGAUUAGAUACCCUGGUA
RNAcentral lists this ribosomal RNA (730 nucleotides) under uncultured bacterium. RNAcentral describes it as "bacterial SSU rRNA". It matches the Rfam family "Bacterial small subunit ribosomal RNA", at positions 55 to 792 of the family's 1533-position model. The record is from RNAcentral.